RNAcentral lists this transfer RNA (68 nucleotides) under Meretrix lamarckii (Korean hard clam). Its description in RNAcentral is "tRNA-Trp". Lineage: Eukaryota; Metazoa; Mollusca; Bivalvia; Venerida; Veneridae. The record is from RNAcentral.
AGAGUUUUAAGUUAUGUUUUAGACUGUAGUAUUUCAAGUACUAAAGAGGUGAUUUUUUCCAUACUCUG